Molecule: long non-coding RNA, 2976 nt
Organism: Lathyrus oleraceus (garden pea)
Lineage: Eukaryota; Viridiplantae; Streptophyta; Magnoliopsida; Fabales; Fabaceae
Exons: 3
Source: RefSeq, a predicted model, not a curated record
UGAGGUGCAGAUGGUAGGAUUCCAGUCCGCACGUUAGACCGGGGCGCAUCUUCAUCUGCAGCUAAGCCGGCUGGAUAUCCAGGAGGACCGUACGAUACGUCUCUUUUGGUGAAGUACGAGCAUCAUGUUGCUCGACAUUUAUGGUUCGGUGAGGAAAGAGGUCCAAAGAAAGAGUUGAAGGUUGCUGGACAUGGACUGAAGUUGACAUCUAGGGUUCCAUUGGCUCUUCCACCAUAGAUGGAGAGUUGGGUAUCUAGAUCUGGUUUAUCUUCACUUCAGAGAACCAGUCUGAACAAGAUAGACACAAAUCUUGUCUCUGCAUUUGUGAAAAGAUGGCAUCUAGAGACAUCUUCAUUUCACAUGUCGUUAGGUGAAAUGAACAUUACUUUGGAUGAUGUCUCAUGUCUGCUUCACUUGCCCAUCAGGGGUAUCUUCUGGAGCCCUCAGGAUGUGACGGAAGAGGUAGCUGUUGAGCUUCCUGUUGACUACCUAGGAGUGUCACAGGGUGAGUCACAGUCACAUGUCCGUAGCUGCAGGAGUUCGUAUUACAAGUUGGAGUGGUUAUACGAUUUAUUCGUACAUCAUAGAGCUGCUUCCAACUGUGCAUAUGCGACCAGAGCAUAUCUAUUGAUGUUGGUGGGUUCCACCAUAUUUGCCGAUAAGACCUUUACACUUGUAGAGGCACGAUACCUCCUCCUGUUUACGGACUUGGAUAGAUGUUCAGGAUAUAGUUGGGGAGCAGCUGCACUAGUUACCCUAUACAUAUAUCUUGGAGAUGCGUCCAUGUACAGUUGCAAAUAGCUCGGUGGAUAUCCUACUCUCCUACAGUGUUGGAUUCACGAAUACUUUCCAACUGUUGGAAAAAGAGGGGAGAAUUGGAAACCUGUUGAUAACUGUGGUCUUCCCCGAGCGAUGAGAUGGUCGUAUAGGCAAGGAGUCCUGAAGGUUGAUGAUUUACGACCUAUUUUGGACGAGCUGACACCUGCCGACGUCAUAUGGCGUCCAUUUGAGGAUCAUAGAGCAUGACGUCUAUUUGAUGAGAUAUGUCUUUACAAGGGCUGUUUGAAGUGGGGUGAAACAGUUGUUCCAUACUUGCCUGACAGAUGUUUACGUCAGUUCGGGUAUAGGCAGUAUGUUCCAUCCCCACCUCUUGAUUGUAUGAUGGCGACGGAUAUUGAUGUUGAUUGGAUUAGUUACCAUCAGAGUGUUAUCGAUGUGAUCGAUCCAUCUACCCUGGCCACCACUCCAUCUGAUGUAGAAGAUGGUUAUCUGGAGUGGUAUUAUUGUGUUUUGCAUCCACGGUUGGUCCCUCCCCAUCGUGACGAUCCAAGAGAGGUACCAGUUCCUGUAUAUGACGUCGGACCAUCUGAUCCUGAUUGGGCUGUUAGAGCGGAAGCUGUUGGUAAUGAGCCGUAGCAAUAUAGUGGUAGCAUGGCACGAGAUCCACAUGUGCUUGAAACUGAGAUUGAAUAUUUUCCAUGACAACACUUGUUUCUUCUUCUAUCUUCGUCUUUAGGGACCCGGAGUGGGGUUUCUUUGCUCCCUUAGCCACAACAAUUGUGUCUUGGAUUUUACCGAUCUUCAAACAGUUCUCAGUCCGAUCACCAACAAAUGACCAGGUAUGAGAAACCUGAGGAGGCGCUUCCAACCAUCCUAUUAAGAUAAGGCCCCUAAAGGGUAUUCAUGAACAUGCCUACCAGUUCCCUUUCCAGAAGAGGAGGUUGAACCUUGGCAACCAAGUCUCUCCACUGUUGGGCAUACUCCUUGAAUGAUUCACCUGAUUUCUAAGUGAGGCUCUAGAGUUGAGUCCGGUUGGGAGCCAUGUCUGAAUUAUACUGAUAAUGUUUCAGGAAUGAUUUAACUAACUCCCUCCAAGUUCGUAUAUGCGUGCGUUCAAGCUGCAUAUACCAUUCAAGUGAAUCCCCCACUGAGGCUAUCUUGAAAGAAGUGCAUUAAAAGUUUCUCAUCCUAAGAAUGAGAAGCCAUCUUCAUGCAAAAGGACCAGAUAUGGGUUUUUCGACACCUAACCCCUUUGUAUUUUUCGAAGACUUGGACCUUGAACUUAGCAGGAAUCUUUACACCAAGCACUAGGCAUAUAUCUCCAGUCUCCAACCCAAAGGCACUAGAUCCUUAGAUAGCUUUUAUCCUCUCCUCUAGAUCACAAAGCUUUGUCUCCAUUUCAGUAGUCGAUGGUCCAAAGGCGUCAUAAACUAAAUUAGCUUUUGGAGUGAAGAAAGCAUCGUGAUAAUCAUAUAUCUCAACUGACAAGCAUGUUGAACGUAUUACCAACAUUUUGAUACAUGGGACCCCCCCUCAAGAGGUGGCCGAGUCACUAUUUAUGCACCAGUACCCCCUAGUGGAUUCAGUGGAAGUGUUACAACAAGAUUUGCAGUAACGACCCUCAGAUUGGCCUAUCGUACUUCUUCUUCAAGUGCAAAGUUCAAGUCAAAGAAUGAAUAAUCGGUUAUGACUCAAGACUUCAAUUGACACUGUUCGUUGGUUAACACUACAAGCUUGUGCUUUUAGGGGCCACGACGAAAGUAGCAAAUCAAGAAAUCAAGGUAACUUUCUUGAGUUAUUGAAACUUUUAGCAUCCUAUAAUGAUGAAGUUGCAAAAGUUGUGUUGGAAAAUUCUCCACAAAAUUGCAAGUAUAUUUCACAUCAAAUUCAAAAAGAGCUCUUACAAGUAUACUAUUUACGUUUUAUUUAUAAUCUUUACUUUACGUUAGCGGUCAUCCCAAAUUUUUUUAUCUGACUCCACCAAUGUCAUCAAUCUCAUAAUAUUAUUUAGAAAUGACUAAUAUUUUCUAACCGACACAUGAUAAUAUGGAAUUCUAACUAAAAGCUACAUGUGUUGAUCAUGAGAAAACAUUUGGUUAUGAUAUAUGCACUAUAAUCGAACCAUCAUGUUAUCCGUGCUGAAUUUUAUCUUUUAUUGAUUUCAACAUUUUUCGUAGUUCAUAUCAAAAUAACUUA